AAAAUACAACCAUUGAAGGAAAAGCUGGUGACACAGUGAUUCUCCCAUGUUCAACAAAGAACAAGAUGAAUAUCAGCCUUGAAGAAGUUGAGUGGACAUUUAUGGAUCCAACUACAGGGAAAAAGACUGUCCAUCUGUAUUUUCAGGGUAAAGAUCAACUUCACCAACAGAGUGAUGACUUCAAAGACCGAACAUCUCUUUUCAAGGAGGAACUGUCCUCAGGGAACUGUUCUCUCAGUCUGCUAGCAACCACAUCUCAUAAUGGUUCAUACCAAAGCUAUGUUGGAGGGCGUCUCUGCUGUACUGUAAACCUCAAAGUCCUUCCUGCAGAAGAAGACAGCUCUGAGGAUGAUCCUGUGUCUCCAGAUAAACCAAACAUGUUGCAGUGCCAAAAUACAACCAUUGAAGGAAAAGCUGGUGACACAGUGAUUCUCCCAUGUUCAACAAAGAACAAGAUGAAUAUCAGCCUUGAAGAAGUUAAGUGGACAUUUAUGGAUCCAACUACAGGGAAAAAGACUGUCCAUCUGUAUUUUCAGGGUAAAGAUCAACUUCACCAACAGAGUGAUGACUUCAAAGACCGAACAUCUCUUUUCAAGGAGGAACUGUCCUCAGGGAACUGUUCUCUAAGUCUGCUAGCAACCACAUCUCAUAAUGGUUCAUACCAAAGCUAUGUUGGAGGGCGUCUCUGCUGUACUGUAAACCUCAAAGGUUCGUACUAAUACUAUUUUAUUAUCAUGAAGUUUGUAACCAAACUGUACACAAGAGGCUUCACAGGUAAUAACAGCUUGUUUGAUGCAGUGAUGUGACAUUAAACCAGAUGUCUAGAUGAUCAUGCCCACAAAUUGUGUUUGACUUUAAUUUCAUUGU
This 867-nucleotide long non-coding RNA is filed under the name Sparus aurata (gilthead seabream). RNAcentral describes it as "lncRNA (ENSSAUG00010007065.1)". Lineage: Eukaryota; Metazoa; Chordata; Actinopteri; Spariformes; Sparidae. The record is from RNAcentral.